This 76-nucleotide transfer RNA is filed under the name Glycocaulis albus. RNAcentral describes it as "tRNA-Asn". It matches the Rfam family "tRNA". From Rfam's summary of the family: Transfer RNA (tRNA) molecules are approximately 80 nucleotides in length. Their secondary structure includes four short double-helical elements and three loops (D, anti-codon, and T loops). Further hydrogen bonds mediate the characteristic L-shaped molecular structure. tRNAs have two regions of fundamental functional importance: the anti-codon, which is responsible for specific mRNA codon recognition, and the 3' end, to which the tRNAs corresponding amino acid is attached (by aminoacyl-tRNA synthetases). tRNAs cope with the degeneracy of the genetic code in two manners: having more than one tRNA (with a specific anti-codon) for a particular amino acid; and 'wobble' base-pairing, i.e. permitting non-standard base-pairing at the 3rd anti-codon position. The record is from RNAcentral. RNAcentral also lists the same sequence under 3 other names. Lineage: Bacteria; Pseudomonadati; Pseudomonadota; Alphaproteobacteria; Maricaulales; Maricaulaceae.
UCCCCGGUAGCUCAGUUGGUAGAGCAGCGGACUGUUAAUCCGCCUGUCGCUGGUUCGAGCCCGGCCCGGGGAGCCA